UAAGAGCUCGUAGGCGGUUUGUCGCGUCUGCCGUGAAGUCCGGGGCUCAACUCCGGAUCUGCGGUGGGUACGGGCAGACUAGAGUGAUGUAGGGGAGACUGGAAUUCCUGGUGUAGCGGUGAAAUGCGCAGAUAUCAGGAGGAACACCGAUGGCGAAGGCAGGUCUCUGGGCAUUAACUGACGCUGAGGAGCGAAAGCAUGGGGAGCGAACAGGAUUAGAUACCCUGGUAGUCCAUGCCGUAAACGUUGGGCACUAGGUGUGGGGGACAUUCCACGUUUUCCGCGCCGUAGCUAACCCAUUAAGUUCCCCCGCCUGGGGAGU
RNAcentral lists this ribosomal RNA (322 nucleotides) under Arthrobacter sp. Its description in RNAcentral is "bacterial SSU rRNA". It matches the Rfam family "Bacterial small subunit ribosomal RNA", at positions 562 to 881 of the family's 1533-position model. Lineage: Bacteria; Bacillati; Actinomycetota; Actinomycetes; Micrococcales; Micrococcaceae. The record is from RNAcentral.